GAUGAACGCUGGCGGCGUGCCUAAUACAUGCAAGUCGAGCGAACAGACGAGGAGCUUGCUCCUUCGACGUUAGCGGCGGACGGGUGAGUAACACGUAGAUAACCUACCUCUAAGACUUGGAUAACUUCGUGAAGCCAGAGCUACUACCGGCUCAUAUUUCGAACCGCAUGGUUCGAUAGUUAUAGAUGGCUUUCCUAUCACUUAUAGCUGGACCUGCGCCGUAUUAGCUAGUUGGUAAGGUAACGGCUUACCAAGGCAACGAUACGUAGCCGACCUGAGAGGGUGAUCGGCCACACUGGAACUGAGACACGGUCCAGACUCCUACGGGAGGCAGCAGUAGGGAAUCUUCCGCAAUGGGCGAAAGCCUGACGGAGCAACGCCGCGUGAGUGAUGAAGGUCUUCGGAUCGUAAAACUCUGUUAUUAGGGAAGAACAAACGUGGAAGUAACUGUGCACGUCUUGACGGUACCUAAACAGAAAGCAACGGCUAACUACGUG
Molecule: ribosomal RNA, 497 nt
Filed under: uncultured bacterium
Lineage: Bacteria
Description: partial 16S ribosomal RNA
Rfam family: Bacterial small subunit ribosomal RNA
Source: RNAcentral